AACGUUAGGGAGUCCGGAGACGUC
RNAcentral lists this non-coding RNA (24 nucleotides) under Arabidopsis thaliana (thale cress). Lineage: Eukaryota; Viridiplantae; Streptophyta; Magnoliopsida; Brassicales; Brassicaceae. The record is from RNAcentral.